UCCAGAGGGUGCGAGCGCUAAUCGGAAUUACUGGGCGUAAAGCGCGCGUAGGCGGCUGAUUAAGUCAGAUGUGAAAUCCCAGGGCUCAACCUUGGAACUGCAUCUGAUACUGGUCAGCUAGAGUUCAGGAGAGGGAAGUAGAAUUUCAGGUGUAGCGGUGAAAUGCAUAGAUCUCUGAAGGAAUACCAGUGGUGAAGGCGGCUUCCUGGCCUAAAACUGACGCUGAGGUGCGAAAGCGUGGGUAGCAAACGGGAUUAGAAGCCCUAGUAGUCC
RNAcentral lists this ribosomal RNA (273 nucleotides) under uncultured bacterium. Its description in RNAcentral is "partial 16S ribosomal RNA". It matches the Rfam family "Bacterial small subunit ribosomal RNA", at positions 524 to 796 of the family's 1533-position model. The record is from RNAcentral.